AUGAGCUCACAGUCACACAGAAGGGCCCUUCUACGAGGAGAGCGCCAAGCACUGGAGAGAAAAACAUGGCAAAAAGGGAAGGUUAGCUGUGGAUCCGGGAAGUGGAGGUGUUGCCCGCCCCGCUGGAGGAAGCUGGAGUUUUUGUUUGUUGGUGCACAGAAGCUUGGGGUUGGGGUGACAGCUCAUGAUGUGGCAUUUUCUGAGUCACGAUGCUCUCCACACGGAGGGUCACAUGCCCAAGGCGGAUGCAAGCACAGCAAGGCCAAGGUCAGGCUGAGCACAGAAAUGAAAGGGAAGCGGCUGCACGUGGGAAGACCCGGCAGGACCAAGGAAAUGAACACACACAGCAAGUCAAACACCAGAUCAGCUGAGAGGUGUGAAUUCUCCAGAAAUUUCAAAGUUCAAGUCUCCCUAAGACAAAUGGGGAUGUGCCCAAGUUGCUUUUGUACUUCUGGAUGAGAAAAAAGAAUAGACAAUUUUUUUCAGUCCCCAACACUGAUAGAAUCAGCAUAAUACACUCAAUACAGUGCUUUAGGAACUGCCUGGAUAUUUGCAGCACCUCUGGGGGUUGAAUGCCUGACAUCCUGAUGUGGGGACAACUUGAGAGUCAACCUGAUCCUGCUGUCAACCUCUGCCCUCCCCCCAUGACUUGGACCUUGGCUGCUUGGAUUGCCUUCACAAACCUGCAAGGGCAGCAGUAGGCAAUUUGGGGGUUGGCCAUGAUGGAUACGUUACGACACGCAUAUAUAUAUUAUAUAUAUUCAUUGCAAAUUCUCCUCCAGGGAAAAGCCCUGAACAAAGUGCUUCUAAAUUGUUUUCUAUUGUGUUAUGGAAGAGGCUGGGGUGGGGGGGGAGUUGAGAAACUGUACUGGAGAUGGAAACAGAUGUAGCAGCCAGCAAGGGAGGAUGACAGUUGCUAACAGCCCAUCCUGAGGGAAGGAGAUAGGAGGAAUGCUUAGACAACACACUGAUUGGGGUUUAGACACAGCAGAGCUACAAACAAACCUGGCUUCUAAUCUGACAAGUUGGAAAAUAUUUGGAUCACCAACUGCUGUUGGGAGGGAGCUGGUCUCUAAGGUGAAGGGUGAGAAAGAUCUGGGUGAGGAUGAGGCCCUUCUUGGCUCACAGGCUGAUGGAGUUUGGUAAAAGUCUCAAGGUCAUUGCCACCGAAGCAAAUUAAUAUGAACUUCCAUAGCUAAGGAAGAGCCAGACAAAAAUCAGAAUCCAGGAUUCCUGGCAGAGCCCUGUGCCCUUUCCAAAUCAGAAGUCAAGAACGAGUAAAAGUAGACAGUUAUAACCCCAAACUUCUAGAUUUUGUGGAGUCCCAUUUUCUAGCUGAUGAACAUACAAGAUCCUCUAAGAGCAGUGGCACAAAAUUCAUGAACUAAGGUUCAUGGCUUGGGCUCCACUCUAUUUUAAAAACACAUUAAAAUGCAAUUUUAUUUCUAACUUUAACGAUUAGACAAGUUCCCAUAAUAAUCUGGGUCUCUGGCUGCUCUGGGAAAAGUCAGUUGCUUGGUGGGAAGAGGAGAAGGAGUUCCCUCACCCUGCAGUUGAGGUCAAGUGGGCUGCCCUCACACACCUGCCUGGCUUGGUUAACUUACACCAUCUACCUGGCCUGUGUAGGUACUUUGCAACCCCUGGGACCGGGAAAGAGCCCUGGGCUGACAGUUGGUACUUCAUAUCACAGAAGUUAAUGGAGGGAAAUGGGCAGGAGAACACAGGGCAGGAAGGAGCAGCCAGCCAAGGUCACAAAAGCAAAAGGUCGUGUCCAAAAUCCAGGGACAGAGUUUUCAUCUAUUUCUGGAUGAAAGAACAGGAUGUGGGAACCAAAACUGUGGUCAGCUCUCUUACAGCACACAACAGUGGUGAGUUAGGCAAAGCAUCCUUCUAUUUUUAACGGAUCUCCAAGCUUCGUCAGAGGACCUUGCUGCUGACUAAUCUUGCCGAAGCGUCUUUUUCUGAAUUGCAUAAAUGCCAUCCACACAGGCUGAAGAACACUGGAGAGAAAAACUGCAAAGACACAGGUCACGUUAUAAAUAGUGUAUAAACAGGAGCGGAGUGUUCCGGGCCACAGCUCUUUGGAAGUCCUCUAGGAUUUCGUGGUUGAGCCACGCAGACAUGAAACGAGAAGCUGUUCAUUUGUUUGAGCUGAAUUAAUGGCUGAUGGUUCUUUUUGUUGUUGUUGUUGUUGUUUAUUUGUUGUUUAUUUGUUCGCUUCACUCCCUAUCCUUCAUCCCAAAGUACAACAAGGGCUGCUUUUUUACACUGUAUGAAAAUGUAUGCAGAUUUUUCAGCAAAACAACCUUUUAUUUGUAUGUCCUUGCACCAGGAGAAGGCAUGCUAAUAACCAUGCUUCAAAAGGCAGGGUGGGAGAGACGUCCUGGGUUCAAAUCCAGCUUCUUGAACAUGCCUUCAAGAACAAGGUUUACUGUUCCUCACUCAUAAAACUACAAUAUACUCAGAAAUUUGGUGAACUAAUUCAUUCAACGUGCCUGCUACCCCAGUAAGAACACUAACAGAUGCUGUUGUCUGGGAAGGAGGGAGAUACACUUGGUUAUACCACCUCACAAACAGUUCCUGAGUAAUAGCUAAUAAAUAAUAAGCUCAUUCUUUAAAUUUUGAGAACAGCAUCUUUUUGUCACAUCAAGUGUUUUGAAAGAAUGUAUUUAUUUUCUCCAAUGCAUUAAUGUGUCCGCUUGUACACCACAGGGCACUUAUUGCUUCAAUAUGAACAUUUCCCCACAUGCUCUCCUUUUGAAAACCAUUUGGAUUGAUUUCUUUCUCCUCUAAUUAAUAUAUCACAUUUACAGCAGGUGCACCGCCUGCUGUGGAAAAUCAAGACUUUCAAUUUUCAGGUCGUCAGCCACUGACAUCGCAGUCCGACUUGAAACUGUAUGAAAUUACAUGUGGCAUUUAGAAUUGAAUAACAGCUCUGAAUGCCUCUGUGUCUGUUGAGAAAAAUAACAUUCCCUUUGACCCGGCGUUGUCUUUUCCCUUCUUCAGCAAAUAAGUCACACUCAUGUCCAGAGAGCUUCUGUCGUUCUUUGCGAGUCAUCGACCAACUGUGAAAGCAAGCGCAAAUCAAUCAAAUGCCAAGUCUCUCCAGGGGACUGCCAUGUCCCCAGAAUCCUAGGCUUUAAGAGACAGCCACUUCCUUGGAGAUUCUUGGGCUCAACUCUUUGGAAAGCUGAUCAUUGAGAGGUGAUGCUGCUUCUGAGGUCAUCCCAGCUGGCUGGUGAAUAAAAUGGGGUGUGUAUUUCUAACUUAAAGACUUCUCAUGCAUCAUGUGCCAGCUCAACUCAUGGAUGUUUCAAACGCCUUUCCACAUUAUCAGGUGUUCAAUUGGCUACAUCAUGCAGGCUCAAUGCAGCCUACCGCUUGUUCUCGAAAUAGAGUGUUGCUGGAACACGGACAAGGUUGGGCCAGCAUCGUCUUCUCAAUGGGAUAAAAAGUUAAUCCAGUGCACCAGAGACCCUAUGAUGGCAAAGCCUCAACUCUUUCUCACCUGGCCUGUUACGGAGCUCAGCUGUAUGUCAAGCCUGGUUGAAAGUCCUUCUGUGCUGCUUUUACUCUGUGCAUCAGACGUUAUUGUCAGAACUUGAAAAAAAUAGAGUUUGGACUCAUAAAAAUGAACAAGAAGAAAGAAAAGCAGAAAGGGCCUGCAUUUAUUUAUUUAUUUUGGGUGGGAAGUGCUCACUGGGUUUUGCACAUGUCUUCUCUCUGUGUGUCUGUGGGGUGGAUAGGCUAUGUCUUAGGUUACACAUAAGGAAAGACAAGCACUAAGCUGCUUACAUUUAUAUCACUAAUACUUACCACAAGGAUUUGGAUCCAGCCUUGUCCAGUCUAAAACCCUGUUUAUGCUACUACACUAUAUAGUUUUUCAAGGUUGUCUCCCAAUUUAAAACUAUGUGAUCUAGCAUCCUCUAAAUUUAACUAAAAAUUUAAUUAAAUGUAAUCAUUUAAUUAAAAAUACAUUUAGUAGCAAGUCAUGUUUAGUAAAUAGCCAACGAUAGACAAAGUGGCCUUGUGGAUGGCAUCCUCACCCAUUCCUGCAAGUAGGUGGUUGGACCACAGAAGAGGAGGGAAAUACAUUGUGCAGCAGGCAAUUAGCAUUUUGUGUUAUUGAAGAAACCCAAUGGCUUGUAUUCAGUAGGUGGAACUCCUGUGUGUAUAACCAACUACACAAUUAAUUACAUAGGCAUCAUGUAGAUGUGCUUUGAUUUAAUGAACAGUCCCUCUUCUCCACGGCUUACUAAAAUUCUCCAAAUGAGUGUGUAUUGAGACUGCACAGUCAUCUCCAUCAUGGGCAUUCUUUAGAACAUAGAUUCCCAGGGCCUUCCACAGACACCUAAGACAGUGCACUUGAAUGUGGGUUUGGAGAUCUGUAAUUUUCUGCCUAUGCAGUUGAUCUUUUCAUUGUUGUCGUGUGUGGGGGGCGGGGGAGGUGUUUGCACGUAUGUGCAUGUGUGUGUGUAUGUGAAAAUCAGAGGACAGAUUUCAGGAGUAGGUUCUCUCUUUGCACCUUGUUGAGGUAAGACCUCUUCUGUUUCAGGAGCCCUGAACAUUCCAUGCUAGUUGGCCUGCAGUCUUCCAGUGAUUCUAUCUCUGCCUUCCAUCUGGCCUUAGGAGUAUGGCGGUUGCAAGUGCAAACCACCACACCUGGCUUUUUGUGGGUUUAGGAGAUCAAACACAGGUCAUCGGCUUCCACGGCAAGAGCUGUCACCCCCUGAUCCAUCACACCAGUCCUGUCCAGAUGAUAUUGACACUGAGCUGAGAUCUGAGGGUUCUGGAAGAGUAGGUCAGCAAGGGCCACAUCCUUGUCUCUGACCCAUACAGCCCCCCCCCUUGUGUCUGUGAUUCUACCCUCUUCCCAGAGACCCGUGCCAUGGUUAUAGAAGCAUUGUUCCCAGUCUUGGCUGAGGCUGGAGGUAGGUGUUGGGCAGCACACACCACCAUGUGUGUUUUCUCAUCAUCCAGAAUGUGUGGAACAUAAUGUCUUAUUCUUACCCGCCAUGGUUAGCUAUAGUUUAUUUCUGUCGUUGCAUUUCAAGCUUGCUUGCAUUUGUACAAAUUAGUCCACUGACAAACUUAACCCUGAUUUCUUUGAGCAUAAAAUGAGGUUUAGAGACAUCCAGACUUUAGAUAAUAAAAGGCCAUCAUCUCCUGUAUCAUGUUAUCAUCUUGUCUUCCUGUCUAGCUUUGGAAAAUGUCACUGAAAUGACUCUAGAUGAAAACCAAGAGGGGGUUUGAAUCCUGAACAUUUGGAAACUUGCUUGGUCCAUCUUUUGACUUGAUUUUUACCUUUGCAUUGUCCAGGUAUUUAAG
This 5328-nucleotide long non-coding RNA is filed under the name Cricetulus griseus (Chinese hamster). RNAcentral's name for it is "lncRNA (ENSCGRG00000025166.1)". Lineage: Eukaryota; Metazoa; Chordata; Mammalia; Rodentia; Cricetidae. The record is from RNAcentral.